CAGCUGGAAGACGCCGGAGCCGCAGACCCGCUGCACAAAGGGGAGAGAGACACAAAAGAGGCAGCUCACGUAGCUGAUUGGCAGACAACCUUGAGAGAAUACCCUUUUCUAUUCUGCGUCAAGCAAACACAAACGGAGAGAUUGGACGUCUGCCUUCAGCCAGGAGGCCCCGGUCACCGCGGUCUUAAGAGCUGAGCCUGGCAACUUUGGGGCGGAGUGACCGCACGCCAACUCCUGGGAGAACCAAGGGCAAAAUGUUGAUUUCGAUACGGUGGACCAACCAGGAUGGCCUUGUCUGUGGAUUGCUGAACGCCUGUCAAAUGAACAUUGCAAUCCAACGCAGGAAGCACCACACCUUGCCAGGAUGUGAUCCCUUUCUGUGAUCUAAUGCAGGGACCCCCCCUUCCACCUGUCCACUGAGCCCGUGGCCUCCCUUUAUCUUUAAAUCCUUAGGAGGACCACCUUAUCCAAAAAAAACAACAACCCGCUCCCUUCUUUCCAGUUCUCUUUGAGAACUCCUAGCCGAGUGACCUGGCCUUUGGAACAGGAGAGCAAAGGCGCGGGGCCCGGGAAAAGGUGGGGGAUGAUGCCGGGCGAAAAAUGCCCCACACGCACUUGAUCUCGUCGUGGGUUUAAGAAAACAUCCGAGAGCUGCCCAGAAGGCCGUUGCCAAGGUCCUGUCCUUGGAGGAAGGCCAGCGCUAUUGACUGUUUCGGAGCCUUCUUCCAGGGGGGAAGUUGCUGUGGGUGAGACUUUCCAGGAGUAAAGGCGUGUGGAAAAGGGGGCUGUCCAGCGUAAGACAGGCAGAGGUCUGCUGCUGCUUUGCUAGCCGCCGCCUCCUUCUCCAGCCCCAACUGUCCAAACUAAUGCUGCUGCGAAGAGCUUCGGCACUAAAAUAACGGGAGGCCAGAUAGCAUCAGUGCUGAUAAAUGGUAAUGAGUUUCUAGCCUAGGGGAACAGAAGGGCGGUGGGGCUCUUUAAUUCAUGAUUGAAAGGCUAGCUGGGCACGAUGGGCUCUAGCAGAUGUUAGUAUGUGUGUGUUUUGAUUUUUGACUUGUCUCGGAGGUUUAUUAGGCUAACCAGAGCCACCUCGCACGGCCACUUGGCCCAGGCGCCAUCUGGCACAAGCUGGGCGACAUGCGGGCGCAGGAGCAGGAACAGGGCACCGCCUCGGUGCUGCAGAUCCGCAGGCAGCAUCCACCAUAUGGACUCGCUCUAUUCUUUCGGGCUAAUGUAGGUUAAAGCCAGAGUUCCUUUCACAACUCGGCCAAACCUCCCAACCUGCCCCCGAUCCCGCAGAUAGAAUUUCAUCUUUCGUUUGCACACUUUCGGCGCCCGCUGGAUCAAAAUAUUACGGAGUGGGCAGCCUCCGCC
Molecule: long non-coding RNA, 1374 nt
Organism: Candoia aspera
Lineage: Eukaryota; Metazoa; Chordata; Lepidosauria; Squamata; Candoiidae
Exons: 3
Source: RefSeq, a predicted model, not a curated record